CUCAGGACGAACGCUGGCGGCGUGCCUAAUACAUGCAAGUCGAACGCUUCUUUUUCCACCGGAGCUUGCUCCACCGGAAAAAGARGAGUGGCGAACGGGUGAGUAACACGUGGGUAACCUGCCCAUCAGAAGGGGAUAACACUUGGAAACAGGUGCUAAUACCGUAUAACAAUCRAAACCGCAUGGUUUUGAUUUGAAAGGCGCUUUCGGGUGUCGCUGAUGGAUGGACCCGCGGUGCAUUAGCUAGUUGGUGAGGUAACGGCUCACCAAGGCCACGAUGCAUAGCCGACCUGAGAGGGUGAUCGGCCACAUUGGGACUGAGACACGGCCCAAACUCCUACGGGAGGCAGCAGUAGGGAAUCUUCGGCAAUGGACGAAAGUCUGACCGAGCAACGCCGCGUGAGUGAAGAAGGUUUUCGGAUCGUAAAACUCUGUUGUUAGAGAAGAACAAGGAUGAGAGUAACUGUUCAUCCCUUGACGGUAUCUAACCAGAAAGCCACGGCUAACUACGUGCCAGCAGCCGCGGUAAUACGUAGGUGGCAAGCGUUGUCCGGAUUUAUUGGGCGUAAAGCGAGCGCAGGCGGUUUCUUAAGUCUGAUGUGAAAGCCCCCGGCUCAACCGGGGAGGGUCAUUGGAAACUGGGAGACUUGAGUGCAGAAGAGGAGAGUGGAAUUCCAUGUGUAGCGGUGAAAUGCGUAGAUAUAUGGAGGAACACCAGUGGCGAAGGCGGCUCUCUGGUCUGUAACUGACGCUGAGGCUCGAAAGCGUGGGGAGCAAACAGGAUUAG
RNAcentral lists this ribosomal RNA (787 nucleotides) under Enterococcus faecium. RNAcentral's name for it is "bacterial SSU rRNA". It matches the Rfam family "Bacterial small subunit ribosomal RNA", at positions 23 to 781 of the family's 1533-position model. The record is from RNAcentral. Lineage: Bacteria; Bacillati; Bacillota; Bacilli; Lactobacillales; Enterococcaceae.